RNAcentral lists this ribosomal RNA (1971 nucleotides) under human gut metagenome. RNAcentral's name for it is "bacterial LSU rRNA". It matches the Rfam family "Bacterial large subunit ribosomal RNA", at positions 3 to 2032 of the family's 2925-position model. The record is from RNAcentral.
UUAAGUAAUUAAGCGUAUACGGUGGAUGCCUUGGCAAUAAGAGGCGAUGAAGGACGUGCUAACCUGCGAAAAGCUGCGGUAAGCUGGUAAGAGGCGCAAUACCCGCAGAUGUCCGAAUGGGGAAACCCACUGCGCAAGCAGUAUCCUGUUUACAGGAAGCGAACCGGGAGAAGUGAAACAUCUCAGUACCCCGAGGAAAAGAAAUCAACCGAGAUUUCCCUAGUAGUGGCGAACGAACGGGAAGAAGCCCAAAAUCUUGAUAUGUGAUAGCUGAAUCAGUUGGGAAGCUGAACAGAAAAGUGUGAUAGUCACGUAAGCGACGUUGCAUAUUGAGUGAUACAUGAGUAUGGCGGGACACGAGAAAUCCUGUCAGAAGAUGGGGGGACCAUCCUCCAAGGCUAAAUACUACUUAUUGACCGAUAGUGAACCAGUACCGUGAGGGAAAGGCGAAAAGAACCCCUGUGAGGGGAGUGAAAAGAAUCUGAAACCGUAUACGUACAAGCAGUAGGAGCGCUACGGCGUGACUGCGUACCUUUUGUAUAAUGGGUCAGCGAGUUGCUUUCAGUGGCGAGGUUAACCGUAUAGGGGAGCCGUAGGGAAACCGAGUUUUAACUGAGCGAAUAAGUCGCUGGGAGCAGACCCGAAACCUGAUGAUCUAGUCAUGGGCAGGAUGAAGGUAAGGUAACACUUACUGGAGGUCCGAACCCACUAACGUUGCAAAGUUAGGGGAUGACCUGUGACUAGGGGUGAAAGGCCAAUCAAAUCAGGUGAUAUCUGGUUCUCCCCGAAAGCUAUUUAGGUAGCGCCUCAAUUGAUGAUUACAGGGGGUAGAGCACUGUUUCGGUAAGGGGCCCAUCCCGGGUUGCCGAGUCGAUGCAAACUCCGAAUACCUGUAAGUGAAGAUUGGGAGACAGACAGCGGGUGCUAAGGUCCGUUGUCGAGAGGAAAAGAGUCCGGACCGCCAGCUAAGGUCCCCAAGUACAGAUUAAGUGGGAAACGAUGUGGGAAGGCAUAGACAGCUAGGAUGUUGGCUUAGAAGCAGCCAUCAUUAAAAGAAAGCGUAAUAGCUCACUAGUCGAGUCGGCCUGCGCGGAAGAUGUAACGGGGCUAAAUCUGUCACCGAAGCUGCGGAUUCAUUCGUAAGAAUGAGUGGUAGGGGAGCGUUCUGUAAGGUGAAGAAGGUGUACUGGAAGGUAUGCUGGAGCUAUCAGAAGUGCGAAUGCUGACGUGAGUAACGAUAAUACGGGUGAAAAACCCGUACGCCGAAAGACCAAGGUUUUCUGUCCAACGUUAAUCGGGGCAGAGUGAGUCGGAUCCUAAUGAUAAACUGAAAAGUGAGGCAGAUGGGAAAUCGGUUAAUAUUCCGAUACUUUAUAUGACUGCGAUGGAGGGACGAAGAAGGUUAGGCACGCAUACUGUUGGAUGUAUGUGAAAGGGUGUAGUUCCGCUGUGUACGAAGAGAAGGCAUGGCGAAGGAUGAGACCUGAGAGGAGGGAACUACGGUUCCUGAAGGUGUUGAUACCCUGCUUCCUGGAAAAUCUUCUAAGCUAUAGGUUAUAUAAAACCGUACCCCAAACCGACACAGGUGGUCGGGUAGAGAAUACCAAGGCGCUUGAGAGAACUCGGGUGAAGGAACUAGGCAAAAUAGUACCGUAACUUCGGGAGAAGGUACGCCGAUGGUUGUUAGCCGUCACGCACGGUAAAGCAAUAAUCGGUCACAGAAACCAGGUGGCUGGGACUGUUUAACAAAAACACAGCACACUGCAAACACGAAAGUGGACGUAUAGUGUGUGACACCUGCCCGGUGCCGGAAGGUUAAAUGAUGAAGUUAUCGCAAGAGAAGCUUCUGAUUGAAGCCCCGGUAAACGGCGGCCGUAACUAUAACGGUCCUAAGGUAGCGAAAUUCCUUGUCGGGCAAGUUCCGACCUGCACGAAUGGUGUAACCAUGGCCACGCUGUCUCCACCCGAGAC